GUGCUUGCUUCGGCAGCACAUAUACUAAAAAUUGGAACAUACAGAGAAGAUUAGCAUGGCCCCUGCACAAGGAUGACAUGCAAAUUCGUGAAGUGUUCCAUAUUUUU
Small nuclear RNA from Otolemur garnettii (small-eared galago), 107 nucleotides. The record is from Ensembl. Lineage: Eukaryota; Metazoa; Chordata; Mammalia; Primates; Galagidae.